This 495-nucleotide ribosomal RNA is filed under the name uncultured bacterium. Its description in RNAcentral is "partial 16S ribosomal RNA". It matches the Rfam family "Bacterial small subunit ribosomal RNA", at positions 28 to 507 of the family's 1533-position model. The record is from RNAcentral.
GACGAACGCUGGCGGCGUGCCUAAUACAUGCAAGUAGAACGCUGAAGGAGGAGCUUGCUUCUCUGGAUGAGUUGCGAACGGGUGAGUAACGCGUAGGUAACCUGCCUGGUAGCGGGGGAUAACUAUUGGAAACGAUAGCUAAUACCGCAUAAGAGUAGAUGUUGCAUGACAUUUGCUUAAAAGGUGCAAUUGCAUCACUACCAGAUGGACCUGCGUUGUAUUAGCUAGUUGGUGGGGUAACGGCUUACCAAGGCGACGAUACAUAGCCGACCUGAGAGGGUGAUCGGCCACACUGGGACUGAGACACGGCCCAGACUCCUACGGGAGGCAGCAGUAGGGAAUCUUAGGCAAUGGACGGAAGUCUGACCGAGCAACGCCGCGUGAGUGAAGAAGGUUGUCGGAUCGUAAAGCUCUGUUGUAAGAGAAGAACGAGUGUGAGAGUGGAAAGUUCACACUGUGACGGUAUCUUACCAGAAAGGGACGGCUAACUACGUG